This 253-nucleotide ribosomal RNA is filed under the name uncultured bacterium. RNAcentral's name for it is "partial 16S ribosomal RNA". It matches the Rfam family "Bacterial small subunit ribosomal RNA", at positions 524 to 776 of the family's 1533-position model. The record is from RNAcentral.
UACGUAGGGUGCAAGCGUUGUCCGGAAUUAUUGGGCGUAAAGAGCUCGUAGGCGGUCUGUCGCGUCGGCUGUGAAAACCCGAGGCUCAACCUCGGGCCUGCAGUCGAUACGGGCAAACUGGAGUGUUGCAGGGGAGACUGGAAUUCCUGGUGUAGCGGUGAAAUGCGCAGAUAUCAGGAGGAACACCGGUGGCGAAGGCGGGUCUCUGGGCAACAACUGACGCUGAGGCGCGAAAGCUAGGGGAGCAAACGGG